This 307-nucleotide unclassified non-coding RNA is filed under the name plant metagenome. RNAcentral describes it as "partial contains 5.8S ribosomal RNA, internal transcribed spacer 2, and large subunit ribosomal RNA". The stretch from base 1 to 105 matches the Rfam family "5.8S ribosomal RNA", at positions 50 to 154 of the family's 154-position model. The record is from RNAcentral.
GAAAUGCGAUAAGUAGUGUGAAUUGCAGAAUUUAGCGAAUCAUCGAAUCUUUGAACGCACAUUGCGCCCCUUGGUAUUCCAUGGGGCAUGCCUGUUCGAGCGUCAUUUCAACCCUCAAGCACUGCUUGGUGUUGGGCGUUUGUCCCGCCUACGCGCGUGGACUCGCCUCAAAGUCAUUGGCAGCUGUUCCCCUUCGGCUCGUAAGCGCAGCACAGUCGGCGCCCGGAGCUCUGGUGGGAUGGCGUCCAGCAAGCUGUAUUUUCAGGCUUGACCUCGGAUCAGGUAGGGAUACCCGCUGAACUUAAGC